UUCCGUGCCUUUUCCUCAGUCCAGUGAAAGAGAAACAUAGAAGGACCAUAAAAAUCUGAGGGAUUACUCCAGGAAAUGUAUGUUAAUGAAAAGGAAAGACGGGACCAAUAGAAUAGUUCCAGGGGAGUCUUGUGACCAUGAGAUGCAGCAGCAGCCUUCACGUUAAGUUUGUUUCAUUUCCACUAUUUAUUUAGACAAAAAACCUGGCUGAUCUCUCAUAGAUUUGUCUUGUGUACUCAUGUGUACCUUAGCCCACCAUCCAGCUCCGUUCAUGAUACAGUGACAAUGCCUGGCUGCCACUAAAAGCUGUGGGAUACAGAAGGGUCUCCAUCUUGCAAUGGCAUCAUAUUUAAAGAUCCUCCAAUUCUGCAGAAGUUUGCAUAGGAAGAAGCAUGAAGAAGAGAUAAUGUUCACCAAAUCCCCCCUGCAGAAUUCAGCACAACCUCCCAUCCUAUUUCAAAGUGUUCCUAGAUAUUCAUCACUCAGAAGUGGUUUACCCGUCCCUUCUUCUGGAUGCACUGUGGGACCUGAUUUAUCAUCCUUUUUCAUUCUAUGGUUUCAAGAAAAUGUGACAAGGAAUGUUUAUUCAGAAGGGAAUAAAGCAAGCUAGACCACCCCUUUCUCAGUCAGCCAGGUCCCAUUGCUCUUUCAGAGCUUAAUAGCUUUCACAGCAGCUUUCCAAGAUUUUGAUGCUGAUGAUUUCCUUACUUGAUUAAUCUUUGCAGACAUCUAGCUAUCUAUCUAUAUAUAAAACACCCAGUUUCUAAAGCGAAUGGAUCACCUGACGUCAAGUUGACUGAAACCCACAAUGACAAGCUGCAGCGGGAGUUCAGGCAGAGAGAGGAAAGAGAAAAUGCUACUCAUAGGAAGUGUCUGUAAGGCUUCGCUGAGAAGUGGGAGCUGAUCUCCAUAGUGAUUCCAUUUCCUACCCUACAGCCACUACAGGCCAUGAAGAGACACUUCAUCGAGGAUCCUAUUUAAGUGGACACUUUUAUUUAGUGGGCAAAAGAGAGAGAGGGAGAGAGGGAUUGGGAGAGGAAGAGUUGAGCCUCUGCCACGAAGCCUGAAGCAUCACUGACAAACCGCUUUAUCAAUGCUGCACUCAGAAAUCAGGCACUAACAUUGUCCGAGUGAUUUGCCAGCCUUCUGGCAUAUGUUUGUGUAACCCCAAAUAUAGCUGUAUAAGUAACACAAUAUGUGCUGUUUGCUGUGUCUCUCUAGGCUUCUCUGCAUCGUCCAGAGCUCCCAUUUGUUCAUGUUCUGGCCUGUUGCAGAGCCUAC
Molecule: non-coding RNA, 1281 nt
Organism: Pogona vitticeps (central bearded dragon)
Lineage: Eukaryota; Metazoa; Chordata; Lepidosauria; Squamata; Agamidae
Source: RefSeq, a predicted model, not a curated record